UACGUAGGGUCCAAGCGUUAUCCGGAAUUACUGGGCGUAAAGCGUGUGUAGGCGGAUGUUUAAGUCCGUUGUGAAAUCCCUGGGCUCAACCUGGGAAUGGCAGUGGAUACUGGAAAGCUAGAGUGCGGUAGAGGGUAGUGGAAUUCCCGGUGUAGCAGUGAAAUGCGUAGAGAUCGGGAGGAACACCAGUGGCGAAGGCGGCUACCUGGACCAGCACUGACACUGAGGCACGAAAGCGUGGGGAGCAAACAGG
Molecule: ribosomal RNA, 253 nt
Filed under: uncultured bacterium
Lineage: Bacteria
Description: partial 16S ribosomal RNA
Rfam family: Bacterial small subunit ribosomal RNA
Source: RNAcentral